RNAcentral lists this long non-coding RNA (496 nucleotides) under Rosa chinensis. RNAcentral's name for it is "sRNA RchiOBHm_Chr6g0287651". The record is from RNAcentral. Lineage: Eukaryota; Viridiplantae; Streptophyta; Magnoliopsida; Rosales; Rosaceae.
UGGCUUUGUGUAAUCAGUAUUUAUGUUAGUAGCAUUGUAUAUGUGUUAUACUAGUUUUCUAUACCUACAUCAAUAGCUUUUUAUUACUAAUCCAGUAACUUUUGUACAUGUGUUAUAGUAGUUUUCUAUACCUAUAUCAGUAGCUUUUUAUUAAUAGUCCAAUAGCUUUGUACAUGUUUUAUAGUAGCUUUCCGUACCUAUGGCAGUGGCUACUGGUCUAGUAGCUUUGUACAAUUCUUCCCCUUUGCAUUUGUAGUGGUAGAUUUCGAAACUCAUGUGAAUUUGGAUAUUGAAGUCUCCAUUGGCCAAGAGAUCAUUCGGUUAACCAAGAAAUGUGGAAAUGCAGUCUCAUGCUGAAGAUGGCAAAAUUAUGUCUAUGCGAUUAGGGUGUCACCAUUGAAAAAUGACAAUAGCAUUAUAACAUUGACAGUAGUUUUAUACAACUAUUGUAAUAGAUUUUCAUAACUAUAUUAGUGGCUUUUUACAACUAUGGAAG